GACGAACGCUGGCGGCGUGCUUAACACAUGCAAGUCGAGCGGUAAGGCCCUUUCGGGGGUACACGAGCGGCGAACGGGUGAGUAACACGUGGGUGACCUGCCUUUAGCUCUGGGAUAAGCCUGGGAAACUGGGUCUAAUACCGGAUAUGACCCUAUGGCGCAUGUUGGUGGGGUAGGAAAGCCUUGUGCGGACGUAGGGAUCGGGCCCGCGGCCUAUCAGCUUGGUUGGGUGGGGUGAUGGCCUACCGAAGGCCGACGACGGGUAGCCGGCCUGAGAGGGCGACCGGCCACACUGGGACUGAGAC
Molecule: ribosomal RNA, 305 nt
Filed under: uncultured bacterium
Lineage: Bacteria
Description: bacterial SSU rRNA
Rfam family: Bacterial small subunit ribosomal RNA
Source: RNAcentral